GACGAACGCUGGCGGCGUGCUUAACACAUGCAAGUCGAACGGUAAGGCCCUUCGGGGUACACGAGUGGCGAACGGGUGAGUAACACGUGGGUGAUCUGCCCUGCACUUCGGGAUAAGCCUGGGAAACUGGGUCUAAUACCGGAUAGGACUCCUGGCUUCAUGGUUGGGGGUGGAAAGCUUUUGCGGUGUGGGAUGGGCCCGCGGCCUAUCAGCUUGUUGGGGGGGUAAUGGUCUACCAAGGCGACGGCGGGUAGCCGGUCUGAGGGGGUGAGCGGUCGCACUGGGACUGGGAGACGGCCCAGACUCGUACGGGAGGCAGCAGUGGGGAAUAUUGCACAAUGGGCGCAAGCCUGAUGCGGGGACGCCACGUGAGGGAUGACGGCCUUCGGGUUGUAAACCUCUUUCAGCUAUGACGAAGCGCAAGUGACGGUAGUAGCAGAAGAAGGACCGGCCAACUACGUGCCAGCAGCCGCCGCGG
This 478-nucleotide ribosomal RNA is filed under the name uncultured bacterium. RNAcentral describes it as "partial 16S ribosomal RNA". It matches the Rfam family "Bacterial small subunit ribosomal RNA", at positions 28 to 523 of the family's 1533-position model. The record is from RNAcentral.